GAUGAACGCUGGCGGCGUGCCUAAUACAUGCAAGUCGAGCGAACAGACGAGGAGCUUGCUCCUUUGACGUUAGCGGCGGACGGGUGAGUAACACGUAGGUAACCUACCUAUAAGACUGGGAUAACUUCGGGAAACCGGAGCUAAUACCGGAUAAUAUUUCGAACCGCAUGGUUCGAUAGUGGAAGAUGGCUUUGCUAUCACUUAUAGAUGGACCUGCGCCGUAUUAGCUAGUUGGUAAGGUAACGGCUUACCAAGGCAACGAUACGUAGCCGACCUGAGAGGGUGAUCGGCCACGCUGGAACUGAGACACGGUCCAGACUCCUACGGGAGGCAGCAGUAGGGAAUCUUCCGCAAUGGGCGAAAGCCUGACGGAGCAACGCCGCGUGAGUGAUGAAGGUCUUCGGAUCGUAAAACUCUGUUAUUAGGGAAGAACAAACGUGUAAGUAACUGUGCACGUCUUGACGGUACCUAAUCAGAAAGCCACGGCUAACUACGUG
Molecule: ribosomal RNA, 497 nt
Filed under: uncultured bacterium
Lineage: Bacteria
Description: partial 16S ribosomal RNA
Rfam family: Bacterial small subunit ribosomal RNA
Source: RNAcentral